AUACCCCAUAGACUAUGGAUGCUGGAAUGCUCUGUAGCCGAAAGGUCCGCCGCUGGAGGAUGGGUCUGCGGCCGAUUAGGUUGUUGUUGGGGUAACGGCCCAACAAGCCUGUAAUCGGUACGGGUUGUGGGAGCAAGAGCCCGGAGAUGGAUUCUGAGACACGAAUCCAGGCCCUACGGGGCGCAGCAGGCGCGAAAACUUUACAAUGCGGGAAACCGUGAUAGGGGAACUCCGAGUGCCCGUUAAAUCGGGCUGUCCAUCGGUUUAAAUAACCGGUGAAGAAAGGGCCGGGCAAGACCGGUGCCAGCCGCCGCGGUAAUACCGGCGGCUCGAGUGGUGGCCACUAUUACUGGGCUUAAAGCGUUCGUAGCUGGUUUGUUAAGUCUCUGGGGAAAUCUUCCGGCUCAACCGGAAGGCGUCUCAGGGAUACUGGCAGACUAGGGACCGGGAGAGGUGAGAGGUACUCCAGGGGUAGGAGUGAAAUCCUGUAAUCCUUGGGGGACCACCUGUGGCGAAGGCGUCUCACCAGAACGGCUCCGACAGUGAGGGACGAAAGCUGGGGGAGCAAACCGGAUUAGAUACCCGGGUAGUCCCAGCUGUAAACGAUGCGCGUUAGGUGUAUCGGUGACCACGAGUCACCGAGGUGCCGAAGAGAAAUCGUGAAACGUGCCGCC
This 674-nucleotide ribosomal RNA is filed under the name uncultured archaeon. Its description in RNAcentral is "bacterial SSU rRNA". It matches the Rfam family "Archaeal small subunit ribosomal RNA", at positions 149 to 828 of the family's 1478-position model. The record is from RNAcentral.